AAGUCGAACGGGAUCCCUGGCAGCUUGCUGCCGGGGUGAGAGUGGCGAACGGGUGAGUAAUGCGUGACCGACCUGCCCCAUGCACCGGAAUAGCUCCUGGAAACGGGUGGUAAUGCCGGAUGUUCCACAUGAGCGCAUGCGAGUGUGGGAAAGGCUUUUUGCGGCAUGGGAUGGGGUCGCGUCCUAUCAGCUUGUUGGUGGGGUAACGGCCUACCAAGGCGUUGACGGGUAGCCGGCCUGAGAGGGCGACCGGCCACAUUGGGACUGAGAUACGGCCCAGACUCCUACGGGAGGCAGCAGUGGGGAAUAUUGCACAAUGGGCGCAAGCCUGAUGCAGCGACGCCGCGUGCGGGAUGGAGGCCUUCGGGUUGUAAACCGCUUUUGUUCAAGGGCAAGGCACGGUUUCGGCCGUGUUGAGUGGAUUGUUCGAAUAAGCACCGGCUAACUACGUGCCAGCAGCCGCGGUAAUACGUAGGGUGCAAGCGUUAUCCGGAUUUAUUGGGCGUAAAGGGCUCGUAGGCGGUUCGUCGCGUCCGGUGUGAAAGUCCAUCGCUUAACGGUGGAUCCGCGCCGGGUACGGGCGGGCUUGAGUGCGGUAGGGGAGACUGGAAUUCCCGGUGUAACGGUGGAAUGUGUAGAUAUCGGGAAGAACACCAAUGGCGAAGGCAGGUUCUCUGGGCCGUUUACUGACGC
RNAcentral lists this ribosomal RNA (693 nucleotides) under Bifidobacterium pseudolongum subsp. globosum. RNAcentral describes it as "bacterial SSU rRNA". It matches the Rfam family "Bacterial small subunit ribosomal RNA", at positions 59 to 746 of the family's 1533-position model. Lineage: Bacteria; Bacillati; Actinomycetota; Actinomycetes; Bifidobacteriales; Bifidobacteriaceae. The record is from RNAcentral.